Molecule: non-coding RNA, 104 nt
Filed under: Gloeochaete wittrockiana
Lineage: Eukaryota; Glaucocystophyceae; Gloeochaetales; Gloeochaetaceae
Source: RNAcentral
UCUGCUCCCUUGCCUUCGUCUUCACCAGAUGCAGGUGCUGCCAAGAAGGACGAAGAAGAAAAGGACAAACCCCUGUCCUCCUCGUCUGGUUUUGGCUCGAUCGC